GUCUGGGUAGCUUAGUUGGUUAAGUGUCUGACUGGCUCAGUUCAUGAUCUCAUGAUUUGUGGGUUCAAGCCCCACAUUAGGCU
Molecule: transfer RNA, 83 nt
Filed under: Felis catus (domestic cat)
Lineage: Eukaryota; Metazoa; Chordata; Mammalia; Carnivora; Felidae
Also listed under: 3 other names
Rfam family: tRNA
About the family: Transfer RNA (tRNA) molecules are approximately 80 nucleotides in length. Their secondary structure includes four short double-helical elements and three loops (D, anti-codon, and T loops). Further hydrogen bonds mediate the characteristic L-shaped molecular structure. tRNAs have two regions of fundamental functional importance: the anti-codon, which is responsible for specific mRNA codon recognition, and the 3' end, to which the tRNAs corresponding amino acid is attached (by aminoacyl-tRNA synthetases). tRNAs cope with the degeneracy of the genetic code in two manners: having more than one tRNA (with a specific anti-codon) for a particular amino acid; and 'wobble' base-pairing, i.e. permitting non-standard base-pairing at the 3rd anti-codon position.
Source: Rfam by way of RNAcentral